This 207-nucleotide ribosomal RNA is filed under the name uncultured bacterium. RNAcentral's name for it is "partial 16S ribosomal RNA". It matches the Rfam family "Bacterial small subunit ribosomal RNA", at positions 568 to 774 of the family's 1533-position model. The record is from RNAcentral.
UGCGUAGGCGGCUUGGUAAGUCAGAUGUGAAAUCCUGGGGCUCAACCUCGGAACUGCAUUUGAUACUGCCAGGCUAGAGUACUGGAGAGUAGACUGGAAUUUACGGUGUAGCAGUGAAAUGCGUAGAUAUCGUAAGGAAGGCCAGUGGCGAAGGCGAGUCUCUGGACAGUAACUGACGCUGAGGCACGAAGGCUAGGGGAGCAAACG